This 512-nucleotide ribosomal RNA is filed under the name uncultured Russula. Its description in RNAcentral is "eukaryotic LSU rRNA". The stretch from base 174 to 327 matches the Rfam family "5.8S ribosomal RNA". The record is from RNAcentral. Lineage: Eukaryota; Fungi; Basidiomycota; Agaricomycetes; Russulales; Russulaceae.
GCGAGGGCUGUCGCUGAUCUUCAAAGGUCGUGCACGCCCGAGUGCUUUCACACAAUCCAUCUAACCCCUUUGUGCAUCACCGCGUGGGUCCCCCUUUGCGGGAGGGCUUGCGUUUUCACAUAAAACUUGAUACAGUGUAGAAUGUCCUUUUGCGCUCACACGCAAAUCAAUACAACUUUCAACAACGGAUCUCUUGGCUCUCGCAUCGAUGAAGAACGCAGCGAAAUGCGAUACGUAAUGUGAAUUGCAGAAUUCAGUGAAUCAUCGAAUCUUUGAACGCACCUUGCGCCCCUUGGCAUUCCGAGGGGCACACCCGUUUGAGUGUCGUGAAAUAUUCAAAAACUCUUUUCUUGUUGAGAAAGGGAUUUUUGGACUUGGAGGUUUCAAUGCUUGCAUUCAUUUUUGAAAGUGAGCUCCUCUCAAAUCAAUUAGUGGGAUCCGCUCUGCUGAUCUUUAACGUGAUAAGAUGUUUCUACGUUUUGGAUUUGGCACUGUCCCUUUGGAUGCCUGCU